RNAcentral lists this long non-coding RNA (3415 nucleotides) under Sus scrofa (pig). RNAcentral's name for it is "lncRNA (ENSSSCG00000063530.1)". Lineage: Eukaryota; Metazoa; Chordata; Mammalia; Artiodactyla; Suidae. The record is from RNAcentral.
AUUUUUUUUUUUAAAGCAUGGUGCCCUUUAUUCUAUUUUUUCAAAAAAAGUAAGUUUUGUGCGCUGACAUUAUAUUACUACAGAUUCAUAUAUUCCUGAAUAUUUUGGAAAGAAGCCCAGGCAAUGAUUCUGUUAGCAAAUUGAGUGGCCUGUAAUACUAUCAGGGGUUUUUUCUCCUUUAUAGUCAUUCCUCCAGGAUGGUCAUCUGCCACGAUGCAGAAAAAGGAUGCCCUUCAUGGAAACCAUUAGGCGCCAGAUUAUCUACUUCUCAAAAGUGGUUCCCUCUUGAUCCUCAUGGUCUUUGAUAGAUUAUUGCCUAAUUUUGAUUUUUUUGUAGAACGUGUCUUUCCAUAACAAUAAAAUGCACUCCAUUUUGUUGUCUUAUAGCUUCCUCCCCAGUUUUUUAGAAGCCACAGGAGUAUUGUCCAGAGGACAACUUUAUCAAGACUCAUCUGCAAUUAUUUCAUGUGUUCUAUUUUUUUUUUUUAAUCCAUGGGAAUUAACUUGGCUUGUGUGGAUCACCUUUGCAAGGACACCGUCUGUUCUCGAAGCUGACUGUUCCGAUGGACGUCAGCAUGCGUGCCCAGCAUUCUGGGAGACAGCCCUGAGAUGAAGGAGAAGGCCAGAAGCCAGAAGAGAUGGAGAGCUGGGGGUGGGGCUGGCUUUGGAAAUGCAAAGUUAGGGGAAAAAAUCUUUUAUCUUAGAAAAGAGUCACAAUUUCCUUUGAGAAGUGGCAGAACAAAGAGAUUUUGUUCUCUUGCUUGUUCAAAAUUUCUUUUCAGAAACCUUAGGACUGGAAGGCAGAAACCAGGGGAGAUGGGAAGGCAAGAGAGCUUGAGAUUAGGCGGCCAGUGGUGCUGUGAAGGUGCAUGUCCUUUACACAACGGGGGUGCAGUCAUGCAUUGUGCCCAGAGCUGCCCAGCUGCUGCAGGUCACAGGAGCAGGGUGACAGUCCAUCAGAGAGGGGGGCAGUACACACACACACCUGUCAACACACCUCCCCUCCCACCUGCCCCAAACCCAGAGCUACUCCUGUCCAGGGGCUGCUCUCAAGGAACUCUCUGUGUGGCUUGCGCACUGCAGUGGGGUGGCCAAGCAGGGACUUCUGGAGUCAAAGUCACAUGCCAGAAUGGUCAAUCUUGGACACUUAAAAAAAAAAAAAAAACUGUUUCUCGAACCACGUUACUUAUAAUCUUUCUAAGUUGUCAUUUCCCCAUCUGUAAAAUGGGUAUAAUAAUAGUUCUUCCUCAUGGGAUGUGUCUGGCAUACAAAAUGUUCCUUAAGUAACAUGGACAGAAGUGAUGGGGGCAUCUCUGUUGCCAUCUCUCAGGUAUGUGGAACAGACUGAUCACUGAGAGGCACAGAGACUGAUUAUUGAGAGGGACAGAGGACUAGGACCCUUUUGGCUCAGUUUUGCUUCAGGGAACUUAUUGCCAGAACCUCGCAAGGCUCGACACUCUGGGGGUAUCACGAGAGGAGAUCCUCACGUCCCCACAGGGGGAGAUGUUCCUUAUCAGUGGAUGACCAGUUUCCCAUCAUCCACUGGAUCAUCCACUGGAUCACCAUCCACUGGAUCAGUUCCUCAUCAUCUUGAUCUUUUCAGAUCAAGAUCUAAUUCAAGGUCACUUUAGAAGCCAUGAUGAUAUGUUUUCGAUCUCACUAUGAAACCCAGAAGAACAAAAAACAACACUGAAUGACAAGCAUAACCAUUUCCCAGGGAUGGGCAGUUUCCCUGCCACCCCCAUGCCCCAUAAGGCUUACCACUAAGUCCACUUACUUGGACCAUAAGUGUUAACAGUAGGGCAUUUCCCCUUGGCAUCCGAAAUGUUUGCUAUUCUUUAAAAAGAGAAGUGGACUAUUUGAUGCAGAUGUGUAGCUUUAGCAAAACAAAAACCCACCUUUCUUUUCUUCCUAGAUGGGCUACCCUAUACUGUGGCUAAAAGGUAAAAAACAUCCAAAUGGACUUUAAACAUGGACUGGAGGAUAUCUGUAGUUUGGAAUAUUUUCUCUCUACAUUUUAAUUUCCAAAUGGUUCAAACCUUCAGAAAAGUUAACAGUACUACAAUAAACACCUGUGUGCCUGUCAUCUAAUUUCAUCAGUUAUUAUUUUGCUCAUCUUUGCUCUCCUUUUGUUUCUUUUUGGCUAUGCCACUUGAAGUUAUCGUGAUUUUAAUCAUCAAUAUGUCAGGAUACCUGUCUUAAGAGCUGAUCUCCUAUAGAAUCAUCCAACCUUAAGCACACCAAAAAGGUCACUUUAAUUCACUAAUAUUACCUAACAUGCAGUCAAUUCAAUUAGGACCAUAUGAAAUGUAUUUUCAGAGAUAAGAGUGCCAAGCAGGAAAUCUGGCUAACAAAAUCCUACUUCUCCAAAGGCCUCUGUCCAAAUGGAAGAUAUUUAAGAUAAUCAUGCUUCGAUCAGAUUAUUAGGCCACUUCUUACAAAACUAAAGCAUGACUUUAAUUUUCUAAUUUAAAAAGUUAGGCAUUAAGCAACAUCCUUUCUUCUAAAGUUGAGUUACGUUUUAGACUUUCAACAUCACCAUAAUCUGUGAAAUUCAUCUCUUGAAAAUAAAAACUACCUAAUGGACACAAUUUACCUAACAGAAAAUCAUAUGUUGGAAUUCCUGUCGUGGCGCAGCAGAAACGAAUCUGACUAGGAACCAUGAGGUUGCGGGUUCAAUCCCUGGCCUUGUUCAGUGGGUUAAGGAUCAGGCGCUGCUGUGAGCUGUGGUGUAGGUCACAGACGCGUCUCGGAUCUGGAGAUGCUAUGGCUGUGGCAUAGGCUGUCAUCUGUAGCUCCGAUUCGACCCCUAGCCUGGGAACCUCCAUAUGCCACGGGUGUGGCCCUGAAAAAACAAAAGACAAAAAAGAAAGAAAGAAAGAAAGAAAGAAAGAAAGAAAGAAAGAAAGAAAGAAAGAAAGAAAGAAAGAAAGAAAGAAAGAAAGACAGAAAGAAAGAAACGGCAAUGGCAAGAAAAUGAGUAUCGUUGGUCAUUCUUUGUUGAUUCUGUAUCACAGGCUGUCCCCUUUCCAAGGCAAAAUAUUUAAAGGACUACAGAGGAGUUCCUGGUUCUGUGCAUCACUGUCUUUAACCACAAAAUAGGAAGAAUUGUACACUGCCAACAUCACAAGGAUAUGAAGACGCUAAAGAAUAUAGAAUGAAAUUGCUUGCAGUUUAUAGGUGAUAGGAUGUAACAGAAAUCCCAGCGAUCUGCAUUUCACUGACACCUGCUGUGGUCCAGUGUCACAGAGUGGGUUGAGCUAAGUCCAGAGGGAUGACAUGCCAUCUUGGUAGAACUUAGCUUACCAUGGAGCAAAUAUCUGGUUCUCAACAGUUUAUAAUAGUCCAUAAACUUUCAGCUCAUUUUCAUUCUUAGUAUAAACAUAGAAAUGUGAAGUCCUAUGAAAUAACCACU